GACGAACGCUGGCGGCGUGCCUAAUACAUGCAAGUUGAGCGCUGACGGUUGGAGCUUGUACCGUCAGGAUGAGCAGCGAACGGAUGGGUAACGCGUGGGGAAUCUGCCUCUUAUCGGGGGACGACAUCUGGAAACGACUGCUAAUACCGCAUAAAAACUUUAAACACAAGUUUUAAGUUUGAAAGAUGCCAUUCCCUCACUCAUAGGUGGUCCCGCGUUGUAUUAGCUAGCUGGUGAGGUAAAGGCUCACCCAGGCGAUGAUACAUAGCCGACCUGGAAGGGUGAUCGGCCAAAAUUGGACGGAGACACGGCCCAAACUCCCACGGGGGGCAGCAGGAGGGAAUCUUCGGCCAUGGACGAAAGUCUGACCGAGCAACGCCGCGUGAGUGAAGAAGGUUUUCGGAUCGUAAAACUCUGUUUGUAGAGAAAGAAGUGGGGGAGGGUGGAAAGCCCAUCAAGUGACGGUAACUAACCAGAAAGGGACGGCUAACUACGUG
Molecule: ribosomal RNA, 497 nt
Filed under: uncultured bacterium
Lineage: Bacteria
Description: partial 16S ribosomal RNA
Rfam family: Bacterial small subunit ribosomal RNA
Source: RNAcentral